GGAACCUACCAGGAGGAAUGAACAACUCCGGACAGGAGGAAGGAGCAACUCCAGCGACACCUUAAGAGUUGUAACACUCACCGCGAAGGUCUGCAGCUUAACUUCUGAAACCAGCGAGACCACAAACCCAGCAGAAGGAAGAAACUCCUAACACGUCUGAACAUCAGAAGGAACGAACUCAGGACUCACUAUCUUUAAGAACUGUAACACUCACUGCAACACUCACCGCGAGGGUCCGCAGCUUCAUUCUUGAAAUCAGUGAGACCAAGAACCACCAAUUCCAGACACACUAGGGCCCAAAGGACUUUCAAGGUCCUGCAUUCUGGAAAAAAAAAAAGUAAUAGAAAUAAAAAAAACACUGUAGGUGACUGGCUGAGAUUGAGCCUGACCUGCAUUCACAGGCCUCAUUUUUCAGUCACUGCAGAGGUAGGAGACCUUGACUCCUAUCUACUGAGAUGUUAAUGCUCACCAAGGUUUCUCCUGCCCUUCCUGGGUGUCUGGAAGAUCACGUUUGCUGCCUGUUGAAUGAGCUGUGUUCAAGUGGCUUCCUUUGAGCAAUAAUGUAUGAGCAGAAGUGAUAUGGGUCACCUCAGGGUGGAGGCUUUUGAG
This 609-nucleotide long non-coding RNA is filed under the name Homo sapiens (human). RNAcentral describes it as "HSALNT0247562". The record is from RNAcentral. Lineage: Eukaryota; Metazoa; Chordata; Mammalia; Primates; Hominidae.